RNAcentral lists this ribosomal RNA (497 nucleotides) under uncultured bacterium. RNAcentral's name for it is "partial 16S ribosomal RNA". It matches the Rfam family "Bacterial small subunit ribosomal RNA", at positions 28 to 507 of the family's 1533-position model. The record is from RNAcentral.
GACGAACGCUGGCGGCGUGCCUAAUACAUGCAAGUUGAGCGAUGAAGAUUGGUGCUUGCACCAAUUUGAAGAGCAGCGAACGGGUGAGUAACGCGUGGGGAAUCUGCCUUUGAGCGGGGGACAACAUUUGGAAACGAAUGCUAAUACCGCAUAAUAACUUUAAACAUAAGCUUUAAGUUUGAAAGAUGCAAUUGCAUCACUCAAAGAUGAUCCCGCGUUGUAUUAGCUAGUUGGUGAGGUAAAGGCUCACCAAGGCGAUGAUACAUAGCCGACCUGAGAGGGUGAUCGGCCACAUUGGGACUGAGACACGGCCCAAACUCCUACGGGAGGCAGCAGUAGGGAAUCUUCGGCAAUGGACGAAAGUCUGACCGAGCAACGCCGCGUGAGUGAAGAAGGUUUUCGGAUCGUAAAACUCUGUUGGUAGAGAAGAACGUUGGUGAGAGUGGAAAGCUCAUCAAGUGACGGUAACUACCCAGAAAGGGACGGCUAACUACGUG